RNAcentral lists this long non-coding RNA (800 nucleotides) under Lynx pardinus (Iberian lynx). The record is from RNAcentral. Lineage: Eukaryota; Metazoa; Chordata; Mammalia; Carnivora; Felidae.
AGCCUUUAACAGAGGCCUGAGGCUGUAGUCUGCACUCUAGACCCAGACUGCUUGGGCCUGCCUUCUGGUUCUGCUCCUUCCCACACGACCUUUCUUUGACUUUUCUCUGUCUCUGAUGCACCGUCUGUGAAAAUACUGCCUGCCUUAGAGGGUUUGUUGCGUGCGCUCCUUGGAACAGUUGACGGAAAUAGUAAGUACUUAACAAAUGUCAGCUAUGAUAUUAAACACUACCGAAUGCGUUUGUGGCAUUAAAUUUUUAAUUUUGUAAAUUUAACUCUUUAAGGAAUUUCUACAAUCUCUACACCCCACGUGGGGUUUGAACUAACGACCCUAAGAGCAAGAGUCACACGCUCCACCGACUGAGCCAGCCAGGCACCCCAAUUGUGUUUGUAGUAUUGUGUACUCUUGUGUACUAAUUAAAAUUAGCAUUAAACUCUACUGAAUGUGGCUGUCACUUUGUGUUAGGGAAAUUAAUUUUACUUACCACAGGUCACAAUAAUUUGCAAGUGUACCAUUUCUAGAGGGGCUAGUGUUAAAUAAUUGUAAUUUUUUCUUAGACAUCAGAAGGUGUAUCUGUCCUGUGUGGUUACGCCGUACUGCCUGAAUGGUGAUGUCCAGGGCCAUCAGUGACUCACACUCCCUCUGUGCUCGUAGGGCCAUGAAGCCCCCGGGAGGAGAGGCCAGCAAUCUCUUUGGAAGUCCAGAAGAAGCUGCUCCUUCAAGCAGGCCCAAUAGGAUGGCAUCUAAUAUUUUUGGACCAACUGAAGAGCCUCAGAACAUACCUAAGAGGACCAAUCCCC